GUAAAGUACUUUCAGCAGUGAGGAAGGUGGGUAUGUUAAUAGCAUACUCUAUUUGACGUUAGCUGCAGAAGAAGCACCGGCUAACUCCGUGCCAGCAGCCGCGGUAAUACGGAGGUGCGAGCGUUAAUCGGAAUUACGUGGGACGUAAAGCGCAUGCAGGUGGUUUGUUAAGUCAGAUGUAGAAACGGCCCGGGGCUCAACCUCGGUAAUUGCUAUUUAGAAACUGGACAAACUAGAGUACUGUAGGAGGGGGUAGUAAUUUCAGGUGUAGCGGUGAAAUGCGUAGAGAUCUGAAGGAAUACCGGUGGCGAAGGCGGCCCCCUGGACAGAUACUGACACUCAGAUGCGAAAGCGUGGGGAGCAAACAGGAUUAGAUACCCUGGUAG
Molecule: ribosomal RNA, 386 nt
Filed under: uncultured bacterium
Lineage: Bacteria
Description: bacterial SSU rRNA
Rfam family: Bacterial small subunit ribosomal RNA
Source: RNAcentral